Melopsittacus undulatus (budgerigar) is the source of this 215-nucleotide long non-coding RNA. RefSeq lists it as uncharacterized. The record is from RefSeq and is a predicted model, not a curated record. Lineage: Eukaryota; Metazoa; Chordata; Aves; Psittaciformes; Psittaculidae. The transcript has 3 exons.
CAGGACACCAUUACAAAGCCAACUGCUCUGGGACGGACUGCGGGCUGCGACCGGUACCUCAGGUGCACAUAAUGAUCCUGCUCCUGACAGAUCUUCAGCCACACAGGAUGCCUGUGAGGAAGUGUUGGCAGCCCAGCCUUGGACUGAUUCAGCUGUUUUCCCUGCUGCUUGGAGCCUCACAGCCAACUUUGUCCUGAGGGAAGGAGGGCAGAAGU